AUUGAACGCUGGCGGCAUGCCUUACACAUGCAAGUCGAACGGUAACGGGCCUUCGGGUGCCGACGAGUGGCGAACGGGUGAGUAAUACAUCGGAACGUGCCCGAUCGUGGGGGAUAACGCGGCGAAAGCUUUGCUAAUACCGCAUACGAUCUACGGAUGAAAGCAGGGGACCGCAAGGCCUUGCGCGGACGGAGCGGCCGAUGGCAGAUUAGGUAGUUGGUGGGAUAAAAGCUUACCAAGCCGACGAUCUGUAGCUGGUCUGAGAGGAUGAUCAGCCACACUGGGACUGAGACACGGCCCAGACUCCUACGGGAGGCAGCAGUGGGGAAUUUUGGACAAUGGGCGCAAGCCUGAUCCAGCCAUGCCGCGUGCAGGAUGAAGGCCUUCGGGUUGUAAACUGCUUUUGUACGGAACGAAAAGCCUUCUUUUAAUACAGGAGGGUCAUGACGGUACCGUAAGAAUAAGCACCGGCUAACUACGUG
RNAcentral lists this ribosomal RNA (482 nucleotides) under uncultured bacterium. RNAcentral describes it as "partial 16S ribosomal RNA". It matches the Rfam family "Bacterial small subunit ribosomal RNA", at positions 30 to 507 of the family's 1533-position model. The record is from RNAcentral.